RNAcentral lists this ribosomal RNA (640 nucleotides) under uncultured bacterium. RNAcentral's name for it is "bacterial SSU rRNA". It matches the Rfam family "Bacterial small subunit ribosomal RNA", at positions 232 to 885 of the family's 1533-position model. The record is from RNAcentral.
CGCGGCCUAUCAGCUUGUUGGCGGGGUAACGGCCCACCAAGGCAACGACGGGUAGCUGGUUUGAGAGAACGAUCAGCCACACUGGAACUGAGACACGGUCCAGACUUCUACGGAAGGCAGCAGUAGGGAAUCUUGCGCAGUGGGCGAAAGCCUGACGCAGCGACGCCGCGUGCGGGAUGACGGCCCUAGUGGUUGUAAACCGCUUUCAGCAGGGACGAAAAUGACGGUACCUGCAGAAGAAGUCCCGGCUAACUACGUGCCAGCAGCCGCGGUAAUACGUAGGGGACAAGCGUUGUCCGGAUUCAUUGGGCGUAAAGAGCUCGUAGGCGGUUCAGUAAGUUGGGUGUGAAAGCUCCGGGCUCAACCCGGAGAGGCCACUCAAUACUGCUGUGACUAGAGUCCAGUAGAGGAGCGUGGAACUCCUGGUGUAGCGGUGAAAUGCGCAGAUAUCAGGAAGAACACCGGCAGCGAAGGCGGCGCUCUGGGCUGGUACUGACGCUGAGGACCGAAAGCAUGGGUAGCAAACAGGAUUAGAUACCCUGGUAGUCCAUGCCGUAAGCGUUGGGCACUAGGUGUGGGGAGGAAUCAACCCUCUCCGUGCCGUAGCUAACGCAUUAAGUGCCCCGCCUGGGGAGUACGG